This 281-nucleotide long non-coding RNA is filed under the name Gossypium barbadense (sea-island cotton). RNAcentral describes it as "long non-coding RNA (GBAR_LNC004299)". The record is from RNAcentral. Lineage: Eukaryota; Viridiplantae; Streptophyta; Magnoliopsida; Malvales; Malvaceae.
AGAUAAACUUUCACAUAAAAGUGAGCUCAUGUGACAUAGAUAUAUCGUAUGAUUUCACAUCACCUCUCACACUGAUCCGAUGUCACAUAAUCAUAGGAAUAGUCUCAUAGAUUGCUUUCGUAUGCAUCACAUAACUACCUUAUGAUUUAGUGCAAAUCAAGCUCACAUAUAAACUUGAAGUACAUACCUGUUUAACCUUUCGCAUUGAAUAUAUUUAUAAGCAAUUCUUAUUAUGAAGUCUUACCCGGACAUAAUCUCCACACGAAGUUAUCGGGUCUUAC